RNAcentral lists this ribosomal RNA (509 nucleotides) under ericoid endophyte sp. GU36. Its description in RNAcentral is "eukaryotic LSU rRNA". The stretch from base 169 to 322 matches the Rfam family "5.8S ribosomal RNA". The record is from RNAcentral. Lineage: Eukaryota; Fungi; Ascomycota; Leotiomycetes; Helotiales.
AAGGAUCAUUAAACAAGGAGAUCCCCUUCGGGGGGUACCCCAUCCGUGUCUAUCUACUCUUGUUGCUUUGGCAGGCCGUGGUCUACCACUGUGGGCUCCGCCUGCAUGUGCCUGCCAGAGGACCAAACUCUGAAUUUUAGUGAUGUCUGAGUACUAUAUAAUAGUUAAAACUUUCAACAACGGAUCUCUUGGUUCUGGCAUCGAUGAAGAACGCAGCGAAAUGCGAUAAGUAAUGUGAAUUGCAGAAUUCAGUGAAUCAUCGAAUCUUUGAACGCACAUUGCGCCCGGUGGUAUUCCGCCGGGCAUGCCUGUUCGAGCGUCAUUACAACCAACAAGCUUAGCUUGGUAUUGGGGAUUGCAGUUCCUGCAGCCCUAAAGUCUAAUAGCGGUACCGUUAGGUUCUAAGCGUAGUAAAUCUUCUCGCUACAGAAUCCUCUUGGUUACUUGCCAAAACCCCCUAUUUUACAAAGGUUGACCUCGGAUCAGGUAGGGAUACCCGCUGAACUUAA